UGUUUUCCAAAAUAUUUAAGCCAACCAAACAUGGGAAAAUUGGAAAACAUUUUCCGAAAAAUAUUUUCCUUGAUACCAAACACACUCAUAGUCUUGAGUCUUAAAGAUAUGUUUUAUAGAGGGUGGUCAAAUGUCUAAUUUUCUUUACUGUUGCUUUAAAAAGUUAUUGAGGCAUUGCUGUUGUUACUCUCAAUCUUCUCUUUUUAUGUAGGUUUUGAGAUUGUUACUGACAUCGUUCUUCUCCUUCACUUUUUUAUCUUCAUCAUCAAAGUAUUCUGCUUACCGGGAACUACGCAAACUAAAGGUUGCAACUGACUGAUAAUUGAACAAGAUGACGAUGAAGAAGACUAAAGCCCGACCAUAUAUUGAGGAAUUGAUGGAUAGUCAGAACUACUCUGAAAUCCAAGCACAUGAUGAUCAAUUUAAUGAGUUGAAUAGUUUUGUUGGUGGCACUGAGAUUCAACAUAACGACGAUUGAGGUUUAUGUGUGGCUAGUGGCUUAGUGGCAUAGCGGCAUGGUUGAUACGGAGAUUUAGGGUAAGGGGAGAAUCUGCAUAAAAUCCAUUGUGUCCGCAUCUUCGGGUUAUGCUGUAAAUGUGAAACUAAAACAAAUUCAUUAUUAUGAUCAGUUGAUUGCUUCUUUUCAUGUGAUGAUUCAUGAUUUCCUGCUGCCUUAACUUCAGUGACAUUUAUAGCUUGAGGUGAGUUAAUCCGAGUGGUUUCUUCAGUAAUCACAAGCAAUUCAAACUCUUCUUUUGCGCAAUAAAGUCCCCAGUUUGAUAUUUGUA
Molecule: non-coding RNA, 788 nt
Organism: Nicotiana tabacum (common tobacco)
Lineage: Eukaryota; Viridiplantae; Streptophyta; Magnoliopsida; Solanales; Solanaceae
Source: RefSeq, a predicted model, not a curated record